RNAcentral lists this long non-coding RNA (5394 nucleotides) under Homo sapiens (human). RNAcentral describes it as "non-protein coding lnc-TIGD2-2:10". Lineage: Eukaryota; Metazoa; Chordata; Mammalia; Primates; Hominidae. The record is from RNAcentral.
CCCUCUCCGCUCGUCCCUCGCCGCUGCCGGGCCACCAGUGCCAGCCUGCCUCAGGAGACUCCAUUUGCGCUUAGUGUGGUCUGGGCGCCGCGCAGGCGGUCCCAGGGCGAUGCCCGGGGCCGGCGGACUGGCGUUCCCUGUGCCAAGCGGCCGCCCGCUGGCUGGCUGGCUGCAGCAGUGACAUCCUGGUCGCCGGCGUCCAGGCGGAAUCCGGGCUCCCUCCGCGGGAGGAAAGACGUCCCGCGCUCUGAAGCUCGCCCAGCGGGGAGAGGCCCUCGCUAACACGGCUUCUCCCUGACCUCUUAAUUUCAGGAGGUUUCGGAGCCUCCGAGUAUCUCUACAGCCCCCACAGGAACUGCUUCUGUUGGUCCAUCGAGGAUCGUCUUUCACCAGGAUUAUUGUAACAUCAUCUUCACCGAGCCUGCCACCCCAUAGCCUCUACCUUGGGUCCUCAUUUCCACCGAUGCAGUUUUUUUGAUGCUUUCUUUAGUAAUGUGACAUCACAUGUCCACUAUCCUCCUUUCCAGCUGCCAAAUCUAGUAGGUUUAAGUCGCUUUUAAAGUAGAGUUUUCUGCCUGUUCCACUUUCACCUUAUUUGCACUGUUCACUUCUGUCCGGGUCAUCUUCUCUUGCGUAUGAUUUCCACAAGCACUCACUUGCGCAACCUAUAGCAGAGUCCGUGCCUAGAGAGACAGCAUUCCAUACAAUCCACUGCUUGACAAAGACCACAUAGUCAGAGGCAUUUUUUGUGAAAACCAAUACUGAGAAUAUAAGCAUACAUCUAAUUUGUGGAACCAGCAGAUGAACAGUAGACUAACAUAAAGUAGAACACGAAGAGAGGCAGUAGAGGAGUGCAGCUGCUGUGUGACCAUCGGCAAAUUACUUAACCCCCGCAUCUGUUAAAUACAAGUAAUACCUGCCUCAGAGUUUUGUGAGGUGUAAACGAGUUGACAUAUGGAUUUUAAAUAAUAGGGGCUUAUAAUAGGGCCUGGCACAGAAUAACAUUGAAUGUUAGCUGUUACUCCCAUUGUGGAUAUUGAGUUUCAGUAGUAUGCUAAACAGAUCCAAUGUGUUACUCAAAGUAGGGUUGCUGCAUUUGGAAAACCCUUCCAAGGAAGUGAGAUAAAAGAGAUACAAGUGGCCAGGCGCGGUGGCUCACGCCUGUAAUCCCAGCACUUUGGGAGGCCAAGGCAGGUGGAUCACUUGAGGUCAGGAGUUCAAGACCAGUCUGGCCAACAUGGUGAAACCCCGUCUCUACUAAAAACAGAAAAAAUUAGCGGGGCAUGGUGGCAUGCGCCUGUAAUGCCAGCUACUCAGGAGGCUGAGGCAGAAGAAUCACUUGAACCCAGGAGGCAGAGGUUGCAGUGAGCUGUGAUCACGCCACUGCACUCCAGCCUGAAACUCCGCCUCAGAAAGAAAAGAAAGAAAAAAAGAUACAAGUAAUUAGUUUCAGCAGAAAUGCAAUAAUGAUUUCUUUCAUUGAAAACUGAAGGGUUACUCUAAUUGAAAAAUCACUUACCACCCCCUGGUAGGCUUUGUGAUGUAUGCAGGCAUUUAAGAUAUCUUAGGUGGAGUUAUAACAGGAAAUGAGAAUGGAAUUGUAAUUUCUUUGGUCCAGUUCUGUUAGCACUUUGCUAAUAAAAAGAUGUUGGCUUUAUUCAUAGAAGAAAAUCUUAAUAUUGGCAUAAUAAUAAAAUACCUUUACAGUGGAUAAUAUAGCAAUAAGCAAGACACCUGGAAUAUUUUAUCUAACUAAAGUAAUACGGGAUAAGUAGAAAAAGCAAAAGAAAUGUCAUGGGAGACAGUGGUUAUAGUAAUUAGGCCCAGCUAUAUAUAGGGAGCUUGUCAUUUGGUUUGAGGGGAAUUUAGAGCCCACAUCUGAUUAUUUUCUUUCGUGAGGAUUAUCAUCAGUGUCUUCAGCUGAGCCUCUGGAUUCUAGAAUAGCUUUUUCAGAAGACCUCUCAGAAUAUACUUUCUUUGGAUAAUUCAUACAUCAUUAUUAAAACACUUUCCUCAGUUUACACUGUUUCACCUACCUGAUAGCCUUGAGGAAAUACAACCCUGCAAGAUAAGUCCUGAGGCUAUUUGGCUUCCUGGAGACCAAGGAUUCUAAAACUUGAUAAGGGUAAUGACUUACAUUUGAACACUGCUUUGCAUUUUCACAUUGCUUUUUGCUAACACAAACUUAAACUUUGUUCAGUCAUGACACUGAACUGGUUUAGUCUCAUGUUGUAUCAUUAAUCGUAAUAUAAAUUAUGCAUUCUCAUUCCGCAUUUCAUUGCAAUACAAAAAUCUUAACCUCCUUGAGAUAUUGUAAUAGUUCCUCUAGAAAGACACAUCAUGGUAAUCUUGGUUAACACUUGCCCCUUAUGUGUACCCUAGUUUGAAAAGCAGACAUAUGUACUCUCAUUUGACUUUGUACACCUUAAAGGAAAUACCUACAAAUUCUGAUUAUUGGUUAAUAAUUCUGACUAUUGGUUAAUUUUAAAAAUGUAUAUGUUUUUUAGAGGAACCUGAGAGACUAACAGAACUCAGACUAAAUGGACAAAGUAUUUGGCAACUAAGCAUGCUUUUUUCACAAAACUGCAGUGUGAAUAUUUACUAUUUCAUAAUUCAGUCUCAGUAAUACAGGGGUUGGUUGGAGAACUGGGCGCUAAAUAAAUAUAGAGUUGGCAGGCCAGGAUCAGAAGCCGUAGUCAAUUUAAGCAGAAUGAUAGGGAGGACCCUGCACUCCAAAAUUAGAUUUAUUCAGGAGGGCUGUGUUCACGUAUCACCUUAAUAUUUUCACAAAUUGACUUUUUUUUUUUUAAUAUACACACUAUAUAUGUUAAGCAAUGAUAUCUACAGAAUUGCAGGUCUCAUGUGCCAACUGGGGUCUUUGUCUAAUUCAAGUUAAACAUAAGAAUUCUUAUUUUUAAACUUGCCAAACUAAAACUUAAAAUCAAUUUUGUAUACCUCAUCUGCACACUUUAGAAACACUAGCCAAGCAGAAGGAGUAGGGUUGUUGAAGGUUAACAGAUUGGAAUGCAAACUCCAGCUUCUCCACUCUUUAUAUAGUUAACCUUAGCAGCAUUCUGGACCUCUCUGAACCUCAGUUUACCCAUAUGUGAAAGAGUUGAAAGGUAAGCAGUCACAUUCCAGGCAUUCAUAAACACCAGCUAUUAAGCAAUCCUACAGCUAUACAUUGAGAACCCCUGGUCUUCAGGCUUACCCUGGAGAAUUCAUCACAGCUCUUCUCUCACAGAGACUGUGCAGACCCCCAGGAAACCCAGGCACCUCUAUUGAGGUCCAGGGCACUGACCCAUCUCUGGGAAUGCUGGCUGGGGUGUAUGCAUAGGUGGGCAGGCAGCAUUGAGUUCCCCGGACCCUGAGGACUGUAGCUGUCAGUCACUACAGGGGUCCAUCUGUAAAAAAGUUGAGUUACAGAUAAACUUGUAACUUCUAGUUUCUUCUAAGACCAACAAAAAUGAUACCUGAUUCCUGCAUUUCAGAAUAUCUUGAUCUUCUGGAACUUACUUACAAAGAAAGUCACCUUUGAGUGUAAAAAAAGAUAAACUCAAGGCAGUUUUACUCAUCUGUUGAAGACUUGACCUGAACUCAAGUGAUCCUCCCACCUCAGACUCCCACAUAACUGGGACUACAGGAGUAUGCCACCAUGCCCGGCUAAUUUUUUUUUUCUUUCUUUCUUUUUUUUUUUUUUGUGAACCAGAGUCUCACUCUGUUGCCCAGGCUGGAGUGCAGUGGCGCGUUCUCAGCUCACUGCAACCUCUGCCUCCUGGGUUCAAGCGGUUCUCCUGCCUCAGCCUCCUGAGUAGCUGGGACUACAGGUGCCCGCCACCGUGCCUGGCUAAUUUUUUGUAUAUUAGUAGAGAUGGGGUCUCACUGUGUUGCCCAGUCUGAUCUCAACUCGGCUCAAACGCCCUGGCCUCUCAAAGUGCUGGGAUUACAGGCAUGAGCCACUGCACCCACCCCAUAAUACUAUUCAUUCCUUGAACACAUACAUACUUUUUACUAAUUUAGGAGAAAAAAUAGGGUAAUCCUUACCAAAUUACUCAAAAUCUUAUCUUUAAAGACAUGCUGCUUUAUUCCUUUUAAAUAUAUAAAGUAGGCCAGGCACGGUGGCUCAUGCCUAUAAUCCCAGCACUUCGGGAGGCCGAGGCGGGUGGAUCACGAGGUCAGGAAAUCAAGACCAUCCUGGCUAACACGUGAAACCCUGUCUCUACUAAAAAUACAAAAAAUUAGCCAGGCGUGGUGGCGGGUGCCUGUAGUCCCAGCUACUCGGGAGGCUGAGGCAGGAGAAUCGCUUGAACCCGGGAGGCAGAGGUUGCAGUGAGCCGAGACCGUGCCACUGCACUGCAGCCUGGGUGACAGAGCAAGACUCCGUCUCAAAAAAAAAUUAUAUAUGUAGUAUAUAUGUAAAUAUAUAUGUAGUAUAUAUGUAUAUAUAUAUAGUAUAUAUGUAAAUAUAUAUAAAUUGAAGAGCUAACAAAAUGUAGUCAAAUAGUGGUUUUACUGGCCAUACUUCUAAUGAUUUGUAUGUAAAUUAAUUCUGGUAAGUUUUUAGAUUGUUCAAGAACAGUUGUUUUUCCUGUUUAUUUAUAUUAUCCACAAUGGGUUUUUGUUUAUCUGUAUUUUAUUCAGAGUUCCUUGGUUUGAACCUGGUGUCCUGUUCCAGGCAUCCAGCCAGGAUACUACAUUAUGUUUAGUCAUUGUGUGUUCUUAGGCUCCUCUUGGCUGUACUAGUUUCUUAGAAUUUCCUCGUUUUUGAUUGUCUGGACAUGAUGAUCUUGACAGUUUUGAGGAAAAGUGGUCAGGUAUUUUGUAGAAUGUCCCUCAUAUGAUAAAAAGUUUUUUAGUUCUUUGUGCAUUUCUUGCCCCCACUAACACAAAAUAGACUGUGAAAGUGCCAUUAUUAAAGAUACAUUAAAGUAUGAGAGAAAGAUAAAUUCUUAUAAGAAUCUGGGAAGGCUUUUCAUCACAAGUAAUGUUGUCCAUGAAGUAAUUAGUUGUGUUUGUGAUAGAAUAGGGGGUGUCACGUGAAAAUCAAGAGUGCAGGUCAUGUUCUAGUAACAGACUAAUAGAAUUGCAAUGUGAUGCGAGUAAGGUGCAAUUAGAAGUAACAGUGUUAAAGUUUGGCAGGGGCCUGAGAGCUUUUUUCCCUCCUGACACCAAAUAAAUGGUAUCUUUUCCAACAACACUUCUCUAACUCUCUGACAUCAACUAUGUGUCCUACAAUUCUGACACUAACUACCCAGAAUUAGGAUCAGAUUCCACAGAUUCAAGGGCUCAGUCCUACAAGAUUGCCCUCAUUUCUGAUGCCAGUUGCAAGUAUUAGGCCCCCAGAUUAGUCAGGCAUUCUCCCAAUACUUCCUCAGACUUGAUAAUUUACUAGAA